Molecule: long non-coding RNA, 926 nt
Organism: Oryzias melastigma (Indian medaka)
Lineage: Eukaryota; Metazoa; Chordata; Actinopteri; Beloniformes; Adrianichthyidae
Exons: 2
Source: RefSeq, a predicted model, not a curated record
UGAAAGCUCUCCUGAACUCUGGCUUGGUGUGGAUUUUCUGCAGAAGCAAACCAUAAGGACAGAAGGAUGAUUUGCUUGAGUUUCCAGAAAUCCCGACACAACUCCAAACAGAUGUCACCUCCCAUUCUGCUACGAUUUACAGGAGAAAAUGCCCAUGCUCCACCAUGUUCCCUCAGCCUGCCAGCACCACCAGGAGCAGGAGAAAGACGGGGCGACGGGAGGGAGGGAGGAAGAGGAGGAGUGUAGAGUGUCUUCCAGCAAGGUCAAACUACAAUGCAGCAAUCUAAUUAAGAGUAUCAGAGUCUUUCCUGUGUGGGGUCAACCUCCCUGUUGUGCUCACGGCCUCAUAUUGUCCAUUAUGUGGUACACUCUGCUUGUUCUUGUAAAUGAUAGAUGUUCUGCUAAUUAAAUCUUUGUACUUCAUCUUCUCACCAAUGUCAUUUUUCAAAUGAUGGACCUGUUGACUUACCGUCACGGUUCAUGCUAAUGCAGAUAAAGACGAUCCAGACUGAGUCCAAACUGAAAAGUGAAAUUACAAUAAAAGUAGUUAUUUCUUGGUUUAUUCCUAAAACAUUAUCCUGUUCUACCACAGAAGGGUCAAAUUUAUGGUAAAAACGAUAUAGAGACUUACUUUUGCCCAGCUAACCCUUCCUUAGCUAGCUGUAUGCUAGUGGAGCUUCAGCGUCACUUAUUCCUUGAAGCAGGAGUGUCAAACUCUAGGGGCCAAAAUCCAAAACACGGGCCGAACAGUACAAACAUUUAUUAAACACUCUAAAACUAAAAAUUUAAAACUUUAAAACCUUGAAAUUUCAAUGUAAUUAUGAAUUAGCAUUACCUGUGAUAAUGCUAAUGUGAAUCCUGUAAGCUAAUCUGGCUGCUAGAGUAUUAGCUACAUUCCAAGUUAGCCUAAAAAACUAAAAAAAAAA